Long non-coding RNA from Bubalus bubalis (water buffalo), 2765 nucleotides. RefSeq lists it as uncharacterized. Lineage: Eukaryota; Metazoa; Chordata; Mammalia; Artiodactyla; Bovidae. The record is from RefSeq and is a predicted model, not a curated record. The transcript is spliced from 2 exons.
CCUGGAGUGCUGCAGUCCAUGGGGUUGCAAAGAGUCUGACAUGACUGGGUGACUGAAGAACAACUAUAUAUAUAUGCGUAAUGUAUGUUAUAUAUAUUUACAUUAUAUAUAUAUACACACAUAAUUUUAUUGUUCCUAUCUGUGAUGAUUUUAGUAUAUUUACAUAAUAUCAAAUAUUAUUUAUAAUAUAUUUUAGUAUAUUAAACAAUAUUAAAAUAAUAGUCACUCUUCUAAACAUUUUAUAUAUACCAACACUUUACAUACAUUGUCAUUUUACUUAUCAGAAAAUUGAAGCACUAAUUGAUAAAGGACAUAAAACCAGCUAGAGAUCUAACUGGUAUUCAAGUCCAGGCAGUCUGGCUCCUGAAUCGUCACUCUUGACCUCUCUGAUGUAACACCUCUCAGUGCAAGAGAGAGAGAGAAAAACAGAAUGAUGUUCUGGGAGAUGACUAGCUAGUACAAAUUUGUUUGAAGAAUGAGAACUAGGAUAUUUAGACCUUAGUUUGAAAUACUUGAAUGAUAAAAUUCAAUGCACAACCUAAGCACUGUGAGUUAUAGGAUAUAUUUACUCUGAAAGGUUGCUGAUUCAAGCAAUAGAGCUUUAAGCCAUGAGCACAAUUGGAAUCAGAAAUGUAUUUGGACAAAUACAUGAAAUCAGAUGCUUUGGAGAAAAUAGUACAAUACAUGUUAAAGGAUAGUAUUUUUAAAGGUUUAAUCAUAAUGUUCAUAGAAAUAUAAAAUGUGUCAAAUAUUUAAUUAAUGAGAGAGCAGUAAGCUGUUAAACAUGUUCAAACACGUUCAACAUGUUCAAACACGUUCAAAGUAAACAAAGGAUACAAAUGACAAAAAGUAAACAAAGUUGACAAAAAGUAAACAAAUGACUUAUAUCAUCAGUCACAAAGAUUGGCAUGAAUUUAUAAAUAGACACAAAAUUUGGUCAGUAUACACAGGGUAAUAAUCAAAUAUUCCUUCUCGGGACAAAAUGUAUUUACAUUGCUAUAGACAAUAAUUUUCAUUACUAUUAGUUUUCUGUAACUUGCAAAGUUGUAAAAUAGUGAAAGUAAAAAGUUCAGAUAACCCAGAAGAGUAUACAAAUCAGGACAUUUUAAUAAUCUUUCUUGCCCAUUUUCCGGACAACUCUCUACACCCCCGAUCAUAAUAACCUCAAAGAUGAUUUUUGAUGCAAAAAAAUGGCUGGUCUCAUUCAUUAGUUUGGGCUUGAUUGAUUAUUUAGCUGCAGCAAGAUAUUAAGAUAGCCGGAUAGCCUCUCUCAGUUUUUUUUGCAGUUACUGAGGCUGCAAAAUUAGCUUUUAUCUGGAAAUUUUCAGAGAGAAUCUCAGAUUCUACUUUUUAAAGUUUCUAUUUUUGCCAUUAGGUAACAGAGCCCUAGACAAUCCCCUCACUCUGUUUUACCUGCAGGUACCUAUUAUGGGAUGAAUUCCUCUCUUUUCCAGGUCACCAAAAUAUCAUUACCACCUAUAAGUGACCUUCCUUACCACAUGCAAAGCUGAGACCCUCUACUCCAGGUAUCAGGUCAUUUUUCCUAAGAGGGCUUUGUAGUUAUUAGCUCUGUGAGUAUAGCCAAUCUUUAUUCUUCAGAAGUGGUAGUCAUAUCUGAUUAAAUGGUCACCAUUCUCGAACAUGAUACAGAUAUGUCCUUAGUUCAGCCAUCGAUUUCUUCAGUUAUAUCCUGGUAGAGAGGAGGACAUUCAUAAAUCUAUGAACAUCACUAUAUUGUCAAGAAAAGUUAGCAUACCUCGUAAGAGUUUCUGAUUUCUGAGAGAAUCAGUUAAAUCAAAUAUUUUUAGUUUUAAGAAAUCAGAAUCUAUGAAAUUGUGUUGGUUAUACAUAUUUUAUUGAGAAGAAAGAAAAAGAAUCUCCUCACAUACGCAGAAGAGAACAUUUGAAACAUCAGUAAUAUUCCAAACAAACAGCCAGAAAAAAAUUAUUUGGUUUACUUAGUCCUAAGUAAUCAGUUCUCAUUCCAUUAGAUUUUAGCUUAGCAGUCUGCUUUCAUGAAACUUGCACCUUUUAGACUGAUGAGCAUUUUGGAAAUACUAGCUCAGUCCACUGUUACAGUCUAAAAGUUACCUAAACAAUAGCCUUUUUAAGUUAAAAUGACUAUAAAAUAAAAGCAUAAAAGGCACACGGUUGUUAAGAAUUGACUCUUUCAUAACUGAGGAAGUUUUUGUUCUUUUUCCACUUAAGAAGCCAAGCAUAUAACAAAAUUAACAUAUAGCAAAGAAAAUUAUUCUAGUAAGACACUGAAUUUCUGCUGUCUAGGCAGAUUACAUAGAUAGUAGGUAAAAGCACUCAUCAGUAAGCCCAGGAAAGAAGCCCAUCAAAACUAAGUGAACUUUGUUUCAGGUGAAUAUGUAUUUUAACACAUUUUGUAACUUAUUUUCAGGCAUUACAAAUCCAAGGAAAUAAUCUUCACUUUCCAAGUUUUAUCUUUUGUUAUGUUUUUUCAAAUAUUCUGGAACGAAUUGAUACUUUGCUUUAGGACUGCAGUCCUUUUUCAGAUGACCCACAUGAUGAAAACUAUCUUCACAAUAAUAUGAUAACAUACAACAGGUUGAUCAUUGCUUUUUUCAAAUGAAUUAAUAUUUGUAAAACUUUUGUUUCGAUUUCUAAUUCAGCAAAUAUUGAUAAUUAUUGUAAAGGGGCUCAGAGACCAAAAACUUUCAGGACCGCUGCUUUAGAGCAGUGUUUUUUUUUGUUUGUUGGUUGGUUUUGUUAAAAAAAUAAAAAUACAUGCUCAGUUG